This 597-nucleotide ribosomal RNA is filed under the name uncultured bacterium. Its description in RNAcentral is "bacterial SSU rRNA". It matches the Rfam family "Bacterial small subunit ribosomal RNA", at positions 9 to 599 of the family's 1533-position model. The record is from RNAcentral.
GAGUUUGAUCAUGGCUCAGGAUGAACGCUAGCGGGAGGCUUAACACAUGCAAGUCGAGGGGCAUCACGAGGUAGCAAUACUUUGGUGGCGACCGGCGCACGGGUGAGUAACGCGUAUGUAACCUACCCUGUACAGGGGGAUAGCCCGGAGAAAUUCGGAUUAAUACCCCAUAAUGAUAUUGAGAGGCAUCUUUUAAUAUUUAAAGUUUCAACGGUACGGGAUGGGCAUGCGUGACAUUAGCUAGUUGGUAGGGUAACGGCUCACCAAGGCUACGAUGGUUAGGGGGUCUGAGAGGAUGAUCCCCCACACUGGUACUGAGACACGGACCAGACUCCUACGGGAGGCAGCAGUGAGGAAUAUUGGGCAAUGGGCGCAAGCCUGACCCAGCCAUGCCGCGUGCAGGAUGACGGCGCUAUGCGUUGUAAACUGCUUUUGUUUAGGAAGAAACCCAUCUACGUGUAGGUGGUUGACGGUACUGAAUGAAUAAGCAUCGGCUAACUCCGUGCCUGCAGCCGCGGUAAUACGGAGGAUGCAAGCGUUAUCCGGAUUCAUUGGGUUUAAAGGGUGCGUAGGCGGAGUACUAAGUCAGCGAUGAAA